GGAUGUGAGGGCAAUCUGGCUGCGACAUCUGUCACCCUACUGAUCGGCAGGGUUGAUUCGGCUGAUUUGGCUGGCUAGGUGGGUGUCCCCUUCCUCCCUUACUGCUCCAUGUGUGUCCCUCCCAAAGCUGCAUGCUCGGUUGAAGAGGAUGACCUUCCCUGAUAGAGGAGGACCAUUUUUCAGUAAAGGGUAUACAAGUAGCUGCACUACCCUGUUAGAACCUCCAAACAAGCUCUCAAGAAUAGCCAUGGUCAUACAUAGAGCUAGUAAAUGUUGAUAACAUUUUUGAAGUGGAUUUUUAGCAA
This 305-nucleotide small nuclear RNA is filed under the name Propithecus coquereli (Coquerel's sifaka). RNAcentral's name for it is "7SK RNA (ENSPCOG00000011503.1)". It matches the Rfam family "7SK RNA". Rfam says of the family: 7SK was discovered as an abundant small nuclear RNA in the mid-70s but a possible function has only recently been suggested. Two independent studies have found that 7SK RNA binds the CDK9/cyclin T complex (known as elongation factor P-TEFb). P-TEFb activates transcription by phosphorylating the C-terminal domain of RNA polymerase II. Lineage: Eukaryota; Metazoa; Chordata; Mammalia; Primates; Indriidae. The record is from Rfam by way of RNAcentral.